AUAGAUUUUAUGCAGUAUUCAAUUCAUCUGAUCGUGUUUUAUCUGUAAUUUUUAUGGGUUGUCAUAUAUACUUCAAAUACCUAUGAAUAUAAUCGUUUGUUGAAACAAAAUAUACUAAAUUACUGCGAGUGUGAGCAAUUGUGUAUAUAUAGUACACCUAAAUAAAUGAAAUAAUAUACACAAAUGGAUGUUGAAUUGUACAUAUAUAAUAAAUAGACAGAAGAACCUUCUUGAAAAUAAUGGGUGUGAAUUGAUUGUUAAAAACUUCAAUGGAAUAGUUGGAGAUUUAUUCAAAAACGAAUGGCAGAACCGUAACAAAUCAAGAAAAGGAUGCAGAUAUACGGACGAAAUAAAAAAAUUUGCAUUAACGUUACAUUUCUAUUCGCCAAAAGCCUACAGCUACUGCAGAUCACUUCUUCAUUUACCACACGCCAGCAGCAUAAGAAAUUGGUUGUUUUCAAUUAACGGGAAACCAGGAUUUUAAAAAAAUGUUUUUGAAGAGAUUUCCAAAUUUCCACCUCAAUCACGAAACUGCAAUCUGAUCUUUGAUUCGAUGGCAAUACGGAAACAACUUAUAUGGGACAAAUCGAAAGAAAAAUUCGUUGGGACGUGCGAUUACGGCAAUGACAUUACAAUCGAAGAUUCAGAAACAUAUGCAUCCGAAGUUUUAGUGUUUAUGCUGGUUUCAUUGAGCGGAAAGUUGAAAUGGCCCGUUCAGAAAAUUUCUGAUAAAAAAAAAAUUGAUAAUGUAUACAAUACUAGUUGAUCUAAAAAAUAACGGAGGAUUGGUAUAUGCAUCACAUGAUGUAUAUAAGAUUGUUUGCAGUACCGAAAAGGAAUUCUCUUUUUUAAUAGGAGAUAGCCGUACACAGAUUCCAAAAAGAGGUGCAUACAAUGAAAUUGUUACUCGAAUAACAAGAAAAUUUGUAUUAAAUACUGAUAUAUUUCCAUUAGAUAAUAGAUGCUUUGACGGAUUAGAAGUUGGAGUAGACACUCCACAUCGUGUUCAACUAAUAACUGCUAUAAUAUUAUGUCUAAGGAAUAAAUUGUCUAAGGAAAA
Long non-coding RNA from Formica exsecta, 1060 nucleotides. RefSeq lists it as uncharacterized. Lineage: Eukaryota; Metazoa; Arthropoda; Insecta; Hymenoptera; Formicidae. The record is from RefSeq and is a predicted model, not a curated record. The transcript has 2 exons.